GGUGAACGCUGGCGGCGUGCUUAAGACAUGCAAGUCGAACGAUCGUCUUCGGACGGUAGUGGCGCACGGGUGAGUACCGCGUAACUGACCUGCCCUCAAGUUCCGACUAACACUCCGAAAGGAGGGUUAAUACGGGAUGUCUUGUCCCCUCCUGUGGGGCCAGUAAAGGCUUGACCGCUUGGGGGUGGGGUUGCGUUCCAUCAGUUAGGUGGUGCGGUAAAGACCUACCAUGGCAACGACGGACAACCGGCCUGAGAGGGUGGACGGGCACAGCGGCACUGAGACACGGGUCCGGCUCCUACGGGAGACAGCAGGUAAGGGGCGACAGCAAUGGGCGAAAGUCUGAGGGAGCGGAGGCGGGUGAUGGGUGAGGAAUAUCGUAUCGUAAGCCACGAAAUAAGGGGCAAAAGACGCGGAAGCGGGAUGACGGUACCUGAGAAAUAGCACCGGCUAACUCCGUG
RNAcentral lists this ribosomal RNA (461 nucleotides) under uncultured bacterium. RNAcentral's name for it is "partial 16S ribosomal RNA". It matches the Rfam family "Bacterial small subunit ribosomal RNA", at positions 28 to 507 of the family's 1533-position model. The record is from RNAcentral.